This 204-nucleotide unclassified non-coding RNA is filed under the name soil metagenome. RNAcentral's name for it is "partial contains 5.8S ribosomal RNA, internal transcribed spacer 2, and large subunit ribosomal RNA". The record is from RNAcentral.
AACAAGGCGUACCUGCGGACCUGCGGAAGGAUCAUUAUCGAGUUGCAAAACUCCAACCCUUUGUGAACAUACCUCAGUCGUUGCUUCGGCGGUGGACGGCCUGUUUUUCGGAACGGCCGGAAGCCGCCGGAGGUUCCAAACUCGUAUUUUUUAGUGUAUCUCUGAGCCUGAAAACAAAUAAUCAAAACUUUUAACAACGGAUCU